GGGCCGGUGGCGAAAUCGGCAGACGCAGCAGACUUAAAAUCUGCUUCCGCGUAGGCGGAGUGUGGGUUCGAAUCCCGCCCGGCCCA
Molecule: transfer RNA, 86 nt
Filed under: Chloroflexota bacterium
Lineage: Bacteria; Bacillati; Chloroflexota
Description: Chloroflexi bacterium (groundwater metagenome) tRNA-Leu
Rfam family: tRNA
About the family: Transfer RNA (tRNA) molecules are approximately 80 nucleotides in length. Their secondary structure includes four short double-helical elements and three loops (D, anti-codon, and T loops). Further hydrogen bonds mediate the characteristic L-shaped molecular structure. tRNAs have two regions of fundamental functional importance: the anti-codon, which is responsible for specific mRNA codon recognition, and the 3' end, to which the tRNAs corresponding amino acid is attached (by aminoacyl-tRNA synthetases). tRNAs cope with the degeneracy of the genetic code in two manners: having more than one tRNA (with a specific anti-codon) for a particular amino acid; and 'wobble' base-pairing, i.e. permitting non-standard base-pairing at the 3rd anti-codon position.
Source: RNAcentral